Molecule: long non-coding RNA, 3363 nt
Organism: Rosa chinensis
Lineage: Eukaryota; Viridiplantae; Streptophyta; Magnoliopsida; Rosales; Rosaceae
Exons: 15
Source: RefSeq, a predicted model, not a curated record
GAACUUUUCCUUCCAUGCCAGAGGUUUAGGCUUACAGGAAUCCAAAGAGGAGACUCCACAUAUCACUGUCCAUGAUAAGAAGUGGCUACUUUGCAUAGUUGCAACACAUAUCCAACGAAAGGUCGAGUGAGAAACAGCUGGAGCUAGGUUUAUCAACAUUCAAGCUGCUUAUGAAUUGCUUUUAGAUGAAGAGAACAGAAGCCAAUGCGACAGGAAUAACUGAGUGAACCCAUUCAAAGCAUCUGAAGCAUGGAUAGAGUGCCUAAUGAAAAAAUGAAAAGCUUUUCAUCAGCAAGGUGAUAUGGCAAUAACAGCUUAGACUGAGGAACAGCAGCAUGAGAUGAAUAUCCAUGCAGAUCGUGUAUCAUUAUGCGACAUCCAUCAAACACUUCUCAUUAUUGUAUUAUGUUUAUUCCUUCAUUAAACUAUGUUUACCAAGUUUGAUUUGAAAUUAUUCAUUCUGGUGGGAUUCGUGUAACAUGUGCUAAUCAUACAGCUAAAGAAUUCAAAAAGUUGUUGAAUUCUUUAACUGCAUGAUUAAAACAUGUUACACGAAUUUCUCCAUCAGAAUCAGUAAGUUCAAACCAAACAAAAUCUGUAAAUUUCAACAAAGACAAUUGGUAUUUCUACUAUGUAAUGUUACAAAAUCAAACAUAGUCUCCACCAUGUAACAAUAAGUCCCGCAGCAAAGCGCGGGCACUUUUUCUAGUUGAUUUUGAUGAUUAAAAACACGAUGUUAAACAAUUGGCCUCAAAUAAAGUUGUGCAUGUUUGAGGUCUUUUGGUAAUGCAUAAAACCAGUUUUGAGACCUGAGAGGCUAAAGUGAAAUGUAUGACAUUGUACAAUAUGUAUCUGACAUGACCCGUCUCUAAUUUCACCCUAAAAUAUGAAGUGGCUCUGCAAAUCUUUGAUGUUUUGCUUUCUGUGUUUAACAGAUUCUUUACACUCUUGGUGGAUUAGAAAACAUACAGACGGCAAAAAAAUACUACGCAUAUGUUAUAGACUUGAUUGGGGGCAAGAAUAUCAGAGCACUAUUUGGUAUUAACUUGUGUACUUCUGCCAUUGCACGACUUGCGAAAGGAAGGAACAAGGAAGACAAGGAGCCCCGGAGCAAUGGGAUUGUAGAUCCAAGUGCUGUUAAGUAUGGUAUUGUAGUGUUGGUUUAUUUUACAAAGAAUGGGAUUGGUUGUUCAGUACUGACAAGAGUUGAAAGGUGGCAGAGAAGCUGAGCCUGUUUGAGCAAUAGAAGAUGGAAAGAGAGAGGCUGCAGAAGGUAAGCCAAAUUUCAAGAGUAAUGUGUGUGUGUGUGUGUGUGUGUGUGUGUGUGGUGUGUAUUUUUAUUGGAUAAUACUAAAUGCACAUGAGAUUCUACAUAUGUUCUAAAACCAUUUCUAUACAGAUCAGCCAAGCAAUCAACUGCUGGGAUUCUUCAUGUUUUAAUACAGUAGUUCUAUUCAGUUUGCAACUCCCAAUCCAUAUAUAUGGACAUCCAGAACAAUGUUAUUGAUUCUAGAUUUCUAUUUAAGCUGGUCAGCAAUGUUAACAAGCCCAAUUCAACAAAGAAAAUUCAUUAAUUCUAGAGCUUGCUUUGUUUCAGUUUCAUUGCUGUUUGAUCCCUGCCCUUCAACACAGUUAUGUAAUUCCAAAUAUAUAUUUUACGUUGACUUUCAUGAUUGAAGGAAGCAUCUAAAUAAACCUAAACAAGUUGACACAAAAAUGUUCUGGAAAAAGCAUGAGAAGCUGAUUAACAUCUCAAAAGAAAAAUGUACAUGAAUUAUUCAGCUCAUUCUGGCAUGGGAAGUUUUUGGAGUUAGUAUGUAGAACACAGUAUUUUCACUUUUGAUAUCUUACCUGGGCUCUAUAAUCAGGAGAUGAAUAUGAACAUUGAAAUGAAUGGAAUCUAUUGUAUACCACUCAUAUUCAGGUAAGAUACCCCUGAUUUUAAUGCAUGCAUAUGGAGUACAUGUUCAAGUGUUAUUUAAGAUGUUUGGCAAAUGAUGAUAUCAUCCAAUACGGAUGACCAAAGUACACAAUCCUUACUUACUUCCCAAAACAUAAAAAUAUAUGUUGUAUAUCUUGUGAGCAGCUAAACAGAGAGCAUGAUCUAUUCAUAUAUUCAAGUGAUGAAUAUGAAAGCAGGGAGCCGAACCACUAAAAUUAUACAUAUAUUGAAAGAUGAGUUCACUGUUACUACUGUUCAUCAAAGGGAGGAAAAGUCGAUUUUGCCCUUACUGUUCGUGGAGAAUAUCAAGCUGGUCUUCUAUAAACCGUGAAUAAAGAACCAAAUAGUGGAUUCGGGAACCUUCGCAAAAAAAAAAAAAAAAAAGAAUCACCGACUGAAAGAGAGUUGAGAUCGACAGAGAGAGUGAGAGUUCGUUCUUAUGUAUCUCAUAGUCAGAAGAAAGAAAAUUGAAAUCGACAGAAAGAGAGAGAGAGAGAGAGAGAGAGAGAAAGAGAGAGAAAGAGUUCGGUUCGAUCUUGGUCUCUGCUGUGGUUCUUCGUCUCGCUUAGAUUGAUAGUGAGGGAGGUUGUUGAUCGGCAUAGACAGGUCUCAAUUUUCGUUUGUUUCCAGCUUGGAGGCAUAAAAGAUUGUAUCUGAAUUGCAAAGCUCUGAUUUUUGGUGUGGAUGGAGGAUUUUAAUUAGCCGAGCUCUUUCUUUCUGUUCUUAUCAAUUGAUGCCCAAGUAUAUAAAGCAAAACGUGUAAUCUGCUGUGUUCGGGAAGCCUCCAUCAACAUCCGGAAUCACUGUUAGUAACCUCAGAGUCGGCAAUCAUGCAGAAUCACCAACAGUGAGGACUCGUCUCUGUAAAAGUUCAAGGAGUGAGAUACAAAAGAGCAAAGGACAAAUCAAUUUACGUUUGUUUUGGAGAAGGGCACGAUCUGCUGCACGAAUUAGAUUCAGAGAAAAUUCUUGACUGCCAAUUCUAAUCCCCUUAACAGAGGUUUUUUGCAAAGGAGUAUGUGGAUUGUUCUUUUGCCGCUGUUCCUGGUUUUGUUAAUUGCUGUUAGUUGGUUGUCCUGUCGUGGUUCAGCAGAUAUUGGGAACAGUGUGCGAUCAAAUUUUGGAAGUGCUUUGAAUUCAGUCUCUAUAAAAGGUCAAGCACUAAGAUUCGAAAGAGAAGACAACAAAUCAGUUUGGGUUCGUUCUGGAAAAGACUGGUUAAGGAGCUUGAUGAUGCAGCAGUCAAAGUUCAGAAAGUUUUGUAUAUCAAACUCGAAGAAACCUUGCAGAUCGUGCAGUGGUGGCUGAGGAGAUGGAAACUUUUAGAUUCUGCAGCUCUCAAGCAGAGUUCUGUGUCAUUCUUCAAUGUUGAGAAGCCGGAAACCGCCUCUUUGUGGUAGGCAAGGGCUAGGACUAGGCUG